Gallus gallus (chicken) is the source of this 5619-nucleotide long non-coding RNA. Lineage: Eukaryota; Metazoa; Chordata; Aves; Galliformes; Phasianidae. The record is from Ensembl.
GGAUUUUUUAGAGUGACCUUGAGGAUUAAAAUCUCUUGGUAAAUCAUACAUCAUGAUACGUGGAGUUCAUGUAACACUGUGUAGUAUCAGGCUGAUGUAGGGGUGCAAAAGUCACCAGCUAAGACCCAGGGGCAGUUUCUCCAGCCACAGGAUUCGCAAUUUUUUUUCUACUCUUUGUUUACUUGCUAUGAAUCAUCUCCUCUUAAGAAUUCAUUGUGCAGAUUUAUAUAAGGAGACAAAGAACUGUUUAAUCAUCUGGUCUACCCUGUUCAGAGUGCAAACCUGGCACUAUACCAGCAGGAGUGCCAGUGUCUCAGUGAAAGGCAAAGCAGCAACAUCCCCUGGUAGUUCUUGCUCCAGGAGUUGAGGUCACAACUAUACAGUGUAGGAGGGCAGCCUGCUCCUCACCACCUCUGCUUCACUGGGACCACAUCCAGGUGCCUUUGGAAGAUCUUCAAGGAGGUGACUCCUAAUAAACUAUUAUUCUCUUCUGUAAGGAAGAACAUUCAUUUUUAAUUCUUCACUUCAUCCCCAGAGAACUAGGGUGCAAUGAAAAACUCUCCUUUAACAUGUCCAAGUGAAGGGCCAGGCUCCAUGCCAGUUACAAAUUCCCUAUUCCAGGCGAUUAACAACUGACAGUUGAGCUGUUAAUGUCGAAAGUAGCCUGAUCCUCACUUAUCAUCUGCAUCAUGAAGAAAAUGCCACUUGUGAAGGGUUUCUGAAGAAGCUGCUAAAUGAAGGUGACAGACUGCUAAAUGAAGGUGAAGUUUCCUUGUGUGUGCAUGUAGUUAACAGCACUUAUUUUUAUUUCCAUAAACUCUGACACACAGUUUAAGUCAUGUUCAACCCAAUUCCUUCCCAGCACAAACUCAAGUCCACACUUGUGUUUGUGUCUUGUUCACCAAGUCUGCCAUCCCAGCCAGAAGGUUCAAGAAAACCUUCAUUUUAAUGCUCUUCAGUUCCACAUCUGUUUCCCAUCAAAUUUUUUUUAGAUUUCCCUAAUGCCUUUUUUUAAAAAAAACUGGUCUCAGCCUGAUCCUAUGGAGAAGAGGAAAGAGAAUUUGCCUAACUUCCUGUGUAACAGUGGAGGCACGAAGAAAGGAAGAAGAAAUAGAAUUUACAUAAGGCAAUCAUUGAUUAAAAAUCCAAGUACAAGGUAUGAUUGAUUGCAUCUCCUGCUUCUGUUAUUUUUGAAGCAUUAAGGACAUGAAUAGCUCAAUGGGUGACAAGAAAAGUGUCAGGUUGUUAAAAAAGUUGCAGACUCAUGCCUUUAGAUCUAAAAAUUAUCGAGCUGCAGCUCAAAGGUGAAAAACUUACCCUCAGGCGAGGAGGGUGUGACUCAUCAUCUCAACAUAAAAUGUACAUAACAGACUUCUGAAUAAAUUUGGUCUUGAUAAGAUCUGUGAAGGCCAAGUUGAAGUGACUGGAGAUGAAUACAAUGUGAAAAGUGUGGAUGGAAAGCCUGGUGCUUUCACAUGUUACCUUGAUGCAGAUCUUGCCAGAACUACUACUGGAAACAAAGUCUUUGUGUGAAAUAAUCAGAUGCUAUGUAUGGGAAAAGGACCACAACAGCUGUGACACAUUUUUACUCUUUUCAUUUGCACACUUGGUCCAGAUUUGGCCUCUCUUACUCAAUUUAAAUAGUUCCUCACCAUGUAGUCAUGAAUGCAAAUAGGACUGUAUGGAAACUGAUGUGCUACCACUGCAAGGCAAGAUAAUCUGAAGACAUUGUUUUGUUUAAACUUUCUCUGUACAUAUACUCAUAAAUAUGAAAUAAAAUACUCAAUACAAACGUAAAAGGAUGUUUGUGUAUGUGUGUAGAGGUUUUUUUAACCAAAGAUCAAGAUAUGCUGAACUUCAAAAGGUUAUUUUGGGCCAGGUAAAACUUCAGAGUUUUGUUUCUCCCUGGAAAAGUCAAUAUGGUUUCUGCUCUGCUGUGAUCAAGACUAUUUACUUGACAGUUUAGAAUAAACCUAGAAUCAAUAUCUUUAUCGUGUCAUGUGGAAAUGUAUAUAUGUGUCAGAUAAAACCUUGCAGUUAUAGCAGCAAGAGAGACAUAAAUUUAGUGCUUUGAACUUUUCAGAAUUGGUUUUAGGAAUAAUGUAUUUUAUAUGGCAGAGACGCUACCAGUAAGAGGGAGUCUCAACUAAUGGAAAAUGAUUGAGGAGUCAAAAUGGUACCUCUCUUAAAUCACAAAAGAAGUGAUUAUCGUGUCUCUUCCAGAUGCAGUUUUAAUGAGACGUGAAUAGCAGUUGAGUAGGGGGUGUUGAUUUUUAAACAUACAGCAAUUAUCAGUCUCACUAGCAGUAAUCAUCUAAUAUUCCUUAAAGUAAGUCGCAAUUGUAUGUAUCUGAUCUUGCAUUCAAUCAGACUAAAAUAAGACUAACUCGUGAUUACUGUAUACACUUAGCUCUCAUUUUGAAUGACUACUUUUUAAUUCUAGAACAACUCCUAAGAGAACAGUAACAUUUUGACAAUAUCACAUAUUCCCAAAGAUAUGAAUUACCCAAGGGUAACAAAAUGUAAAGGUCAACUUUCUGUUUCACUGUGAAUUAAAUUUUGAGCUGUAACCAAUUAGCAUUUAGGUUUUUUUCUGGCUGAUUCUGAGUCUUGUAAGCCACUACUACCUCAGGGGGAACUAUUAAAAAAAAAAAAAAGAAAUCACUUCCAAAAGGUGCACACGGAUUUUCCAAUUGUCAGGGAUUUUUUUUUUUUUUUUAACAUCCAAUUGUCAGUCAGAAUUUGUCAGGGAAGGAAAGAGUGGCGCUAAGUACUUUGCAUGUGUCUCUGCUUUGCAGUUUGAUGCUCUCUGCAGCAAAAAACAAGUUAAUUCCUGGAUCAUGGAGUACUUCCCGGUGACUUGCUGGCAAACCCUAGAUGGUGGGUUUCAUCUCAGCUACCUCUAUAUGCUCUGAUGAGUGGAGCAGAAGGGCAAAAUCCCUAAAAGCCAGGUAGCCUCCAAAAGCUCUAGGGAGCAGAGGAGCCUGAGACUGAGGCGUGCCCAGGUACCUUCUGGCAUAGCAGAAGAGAAAUGAGUGAGUUUGAAACACAGUUGUUUAGUUUGUGCUGUGUUGCAGCUUUUUAGGACCAUCUUGGUCAAACAGGAAAAUACUGAAAUGUGAAUUCUCUCUUUGCAAAAACGUUUCCAGCUUUGUAUUGCAAAGCCUAGAGAAUGAGGAGCAGAAGAAUUCGCAUACUCAAGAUUCAAGUAAAGAGCACAGGAAAUGUCUAUGAAGGAAAAAGCAGUGGAAGAAGAGAACAACAGCAUCAAAAAUAACUCUAUGCAUCGAACCUAAUCCUGUGCACCUGCUACUGCGUCACUGAAGAGACUGAGUGUAGCCUGCAGUGAUAACAAGGUGGGAGAGACGUUAGGAGUGAAUUACAGAUAACUCUGUCUACAUGUAGAAUGUUGUCUCUAUUUUUCUUCCCUGGAAAUCUUCCCAAAUAAAAGAAUCUGAUCACAUCUCAAAGGGAAGCUCCUGCAGAAAGCAGUGCUAUUUCCUCUGAAUAGAACAUCCUGGGGCAUGCAGGCAAUACCAACUAUCAUUUUGUAUUUGUAUUUCUUGACUGUUAUUCCUGUGGUGCUAUUUAAGGUGUUGACUGUGGUCAUAAAGAGAACUCAAAUUAGGUUGCAUGAUCAAGCUGGAAAAAUUAUCCUAGGCUUGCUGGGAAAGUCUGUGCAUAUGGCUGGAUAUGCACACACCAAGAUAGUGAAAGGAAUUAGGCUUCUGUAGGUUUUUAUCUAGAUGAAUUCCACUUGAAUGGAUUUAAUGCUGACUCUGCUUAGUUGGAUUGUCUCUUGAGUACUACUGAGUCUGAAGUAUAUAAAUGGUGUCCUCUCGCUUAUACUGACACAAGAAAAUCAAGAUGAAUGCAGGAAAAUUAAAUUUCAGUGAUAUAUGUGAAGACUUAAGAAAUCAAAUUGGGAAAACUGGCAAUUAUUCUGCUAUACAAAAGAAGAAUUAAUUCCAAAUUUAAAUUUUUUUAGGUCAUGUUGUAUUUCAUCCUUCCUCAGACAAUGAUUUUUUAUCUUAGAAGACAUCCUUCAGAUAACAGUGCUUUCUCUUACUGUAGAAAUAGCAUUUUCCCAAACUGUUUGUUCCAAAUUUGUCUUUCAUUUCUCUAACUCAAGGAUAGAGACUGUGUCUCUUUUGAAAUUGUUAUUUCUGUCCAUAUAUCAUCAUGCAAAUACUUCUCAGAAUAAAAUUAAAUGGAUAAUUUAAAUGCAGUCUACUUAAGCAAGACAUUGUGUUUCUCUCCAAAUGAACAUUACACUGCAAUAACAUGGGCAGUAAAACUAUAAUUUCUAAUUAAUUCCUAAAUGUCAACUAUCCUUUGGAAAACUAAUGAAAAAUCUAAUUGUUCAAGGAUAACCUAGACAAAACUUAAAGAAAAAAUGUUUCUAUGGUAUCUAAGACCUAAACUUUAUUAAAAUGGAUUAUUUAAGGUAUUUAAAUACAUGAGAAAUAACUGGACAGGUGUCAAAAUAGCUGAGUUAUACUCAAAGGUUUGAAACAAAGUAUUUGAAAAUUAAAUUGAAGCGUGUCAUUGUUUACAAAAUUCAUUUUAGACAUUACACUCCUCCAUGUUUUGACUAAGUUCCCUCUCUUUCUUCCAAACACAGAUUUCUCCCCAGCACCCUCAUUUAGAAGAACUGAGGUAUCCCUGAUUUUACAGUGGUAGUAUGAAUGAGCUAAUUCACGACAUCACACGAGGUGCUAUGUUCAGACUAUGGAUUCACAUAUCUGAGUUUUCAGUUCCAUGUUCAUGAAUCCACUUCCAAAAUUCACACUGGGUACAAUCUGAUAUGCAUCAACAUGCAGCACUGACUACACCACUUCUGGCCUCACAAUGGAAGCAAACCUGGAUGCACAGAAGGGAAAGUAAUAUGUGUAAGCUUCACACUGAUACCUGACAACAGGGACAACAGGACAAACAGGUAACAGAGAUUGCAAAGGCUCACUGAUAAAUCCCUCCAGUCAGCUUCAGCUCAACUGAUGUGUUACAGAAGCAGCCAGCAACAGACUCACAUGAAUAGAGGCAGAAUUGUACCCAAUCAACGUGGAAAGCUUCUACAAUGAAAUGUCUAGUUUGGCAGAUGAGGAGAGCUGUGAAUAUUAUCUAUCUUGACUUCAGAAAGUCUUUUUGCAUUAUGUCCCACAAGGUCCUCAUAGAGAAGCUGAUGAUUUAGUGGAGGGACGAGCAGACAGUGUGGUAGUUUGAAAAUCAGCUGAACUGCCAAGCCCAAAGCGUGGAUGAUCACUGGCAAAGAGUCUCAGCAGAGGCCAGUAACUAAUCGUGCACCAACGGGGUCAAUACUGUGUCCUAUCCUACUCAACAUCAUCAAGACUGCAAGAAAAGAUGACCUCCAGAAGUUCUUUUUAACCUCAUUCAUCAAGUCGAACAGCAUGGGGAUACCUACCAGUUGGUCUCAGAGUCCAGCAAGGGAAUACUACUUUUACUACUAGCUUUAACGCAUAGAACAGAUAUUCAGAUUGGGAUUGUAUUACCAGUAUCAAAAUUUAAUGCAAGUAAAAAACAAGAAACUUUUAAUUCACUAAUAUGUACUGUAUCAUGAAUAUCACUCCUCACAUGUUUUGUGAUUAUGGGUGUUGGGUG